GAAUAAGAAGCGAAUUAUUGCUAUCGGUUUCGACCCGAUGAUUGGCUUCUUAGCCCUUAUUCU
Molecule: transfer RNA, 63 nt
Filed under: Acasta sulcata
Lineage: Eukaryota; Metazoa; Arthropoda; Thecostraca; Balanomorpha; Balanidae
Description: tRNA-Arg
Source: RNAcentral